Long non-coding RNA from Hippocampus zosterae (dwarf seahorse), 1411 nucleotides. RefSeq lists it as uncharacterized. Lineage: Eukaryota; Metazoa; Chordata; Actinopteri; Syngnathiformes; Syngnathidae. The record is from RefSeq and is a predicted model, not a curated record. The transcript has 3 exons.
AUGAGCAUCUUAGUUAUCUUGUCUGUUUUCUUUAAAAUAUCACCAAGAAAGGCAAAAUAAUUUAAUUCGUAACCUAAUUGACUCUUUUACACCCUUUGACGUAUAAACACGUCAAUUAGCGCAUAGCCGCUCCCUCCCCAUGACGUAUUAAUACGUCAGUCACGUGUUUUCAUGGGGGAGGGUGCAAGAGAAUCUGAUGCAACUUCUCACCACAGAAUUAGGCUUGACAGCAAUGUUAAAUAGCAAAAAAAUGGCCAUCGGGUGGCAGUGGUGCAAAAAUCAACGGGCGUACAGUGAAUGAGGGGCGUAUGUGGAUAGUGGAUUGGAACAUUAGCAACAAGCAACGAUGGAGAAAAGAAAAUAACUAACUAAAAAGGAUUUUUUUCGGUAUAAAAGCGUCCUCGAAACUAAACAACAAAGGAGAGAAAAUGAUGCUUUGGUCACGUAAUCGAAAGCGGAACCCGUCAAACAAACGUUGGCCUGCACAAACAUGGCGUACUACACGCGCCCCGCAAAGCUCACGCCGAGUUUGGAGUUCAUCUGAUGAAGAUGAACAUGCUCCACGUCAGCGACCAUCGCUUGGCAGAGCAUUUUGUGCCUCCCGAUGCCCCAGGUCGCCCACAAAUCAUCUCCCCGGCGACUUCCAGCGAUGACGGCAAAGAGGCUGCAUUGCUUCGCAUGCUGAUGCCGGGCACACAUCAGCGAUUCGUUGGAAUCGUCUCGUAAUGACGAUGGCGAAAACGAUGAAUUGGAGAGUGAUUUGGAUCCCGAUAUGUCGGACAAAUACGUGCCUUCGGACAUAACGGAAAGCAGCUGAGAGUCCUCGCCAGAGCCGCUGGAACGAGGAGAUUGUCCAACCAGACGCCAAAAGAUGAUGACUCCUUGCUUUGGUGGUGGAAAGAAAGGUCGUGCAUCUGGACCUGGUAGGAUGAAUCGAUGUGGUGACAAACUGGAUGGAAGCCAAAAACCAUCUUCUCCACAGCUGGACUUUGGUUCAUAGUUGAAUAAUUUUGUUGUGUGCAAAUAAAUUAUUUUGCUACAAAAACAUUAUUUGUAAUGUUCUUUUGCAGGAGGAACACAUUAUUGAGGUAUUUGAGCUGUCACAAAAGCAAAAAAUAAUGUAAAACUUGAAAUGAUGCUUGAAAUGCAUGCUUUUACAAAAAGCUCAUUUUCACUGGAUUUCUGCAGAAAAUCGGCCUUUUCCAUAAAACCUAGCAGUUUUCUAAUGCAGAUUGCCAACGAACGGGAGACAUGGAAACAAACGUUUUUUUCUGCUGAAAGAAGAGAGUCUCACCUUUCUUUUGACAGGUUGCAUAUGUAUAUAUAGCCAUUGAACAAAAAAUUCUGUGGGCCUUGCAAAUUGGUCGAAAUUCAGUAAAAUGUGAGUGAUUGAGGGGGUUGCUCCAGUGAA